GUACACUUCCUUGUGUAGACUGUCAAAAGCCACACUAAAAAGUGAAUUAUGUGAACAAAACAUUAACUGGCACAUCAGAUGGCAUGCUGAGUUUGUCUGAAUUGUUUUGAAACAAAGUAUGCAUCUUAUUUCAGAGAGGUGUGUGAGAGUUCUGUUCUGCUGAAUUUGAAGAAGUGGUUUCAUCGGGAUUCAAUUUAUAUGUAUAUUGGCGAUAUUCUCCUGUCCAUCAACCCCUUCAAGCCUCUCAGCAUCUACACUGAGGAUCGGAGACAGCAGUACAAGGGUAAAGAGAAGCACAAUAAUCCACCUCAUAUAUAUGCCACAGCAGAUGCUGCCUUUUGCCAAUCUCAGAAUACCACCCAAGAGCACUGCAUCAUCAUAAAGUGAGGAGGAUUAUGGGCGUUUCA
This 407-nucleotide long non-coding RNA is filed under the name Sinocyclocheilus anshuiensis. Its description in RNAcentral is "lncRNA (ENSSANG00000006176.1)". The record is from RNAcentral. Lineage: Eukaryota; Metazoa; Chordata; Actinopteri; Cypriniformes; Cyprinidae.